UACGGAGGGUGCAAGCGUUAUCCGGAUUCACUGGGCUUAAAGGGUGCGUAGGUGGGCAGGUAAGUCAGUGGUGAAAUCUCUGGGCUUAACCCAGAAACUGCCGUUGAUACUAUCUGUCUUGAAUAUAGUGGAGGUGAGCGGAAUAUGUCAUGUAGCGGUGAAAUGCUUAGAUAUGACAUAGAACACCCAUUGCGAAGGCAGCUCGCUACACUAUCAUUGACACUGAGGCACGAAAGCGUGGGGAGCAAACAGG
Molecule: ribosomal RNA, 253 nt
Filed under: uncultured bacterium
Lineage: Bacteria
Description: partial 16S ribosomal RNA
Rfam family: Bacterial small subunit ribosomal RNA
Source: RNAcentral